GAAUAUUGGACAAUGGGCGCAAGCCUGAUCCAGCCAUGCCGCGUGAGUGAUGACGGCCUUAGGGUUGUAAAGCUCUUUCGCUCGGGACGAUAAUGACGGUACCGAGAUAAGAAGCCCCGGCUAACUUCGUGCCAGCAGCCGCGGUAAUACGAAGGGGGCUAGCGUUGUUCGGAAUUACUGGGCGUAAAGCGCGUGUAGGCGGGUCUUUAAGUCAGGGGUGAAAUGCCAAGGCUCAACCUUGGAACUGCCUUUGAUACUGGAGAUCUUGAGUCCGGGAGAGGUGAGUGGAAUUGCGAGUGUAGAGGUGAAAUUCGUAGAUAUUCGCAAGAACACCAGUGGCGAAGGCGGCUCACUGGCCCGGAACUGACGCUGAGACGCGAAAGCGUGGGGAGCAAACAGGAUUAGAUACCCUGGUAGUCCACGCUGUAAACGAUGGAUGCUAGCCGUUGGGGAGCUUGCUCUUCAGUGGCGCAGCUAACGCUUUAAGCAUCCCGCCUGGGGAGUACGGUCGCAAGAUUAAAACUCAAAGGAAUUGACGG
This 539-nucleotide ribosomal RNA is filed under the name uncultured Hyphomicrobiales bacterium. RNAcentral's name for it is "bacterial SSU rRNA". It matches the Rfam family "Bacterial small subunit ribosomal RNA", at positions 359 to 916 of the family's 1533-position model. Lineage: Bacteria; Pseudomonadati; Pseudomonadota; Alphaproteobacteria; Hyphomicrobiales. The record is from RNAcentral.